GCCAUGUUGAUUUGGUGGCU
RNAcentral lists this microRNA (20 nucleotides) under Ciona intestinalis (vase tunicate). RNAcentral describes it as "cin-miR-4135-3p". The record is from miRBase by way of RNAcentral. Lineage: Eukaryota; Metazoa; Chordata; Ascidiacea; Phlebobranchia; Cionidae.